This is a small nucleolar RNA of Sciurus carolinensis (gray squirrel), 203 nucleotides long. RefSeq annotates it as small nucleolar RNA SNORA73 family. The transcript has a single exon. NCBI's taxonomy places the organism in Eukaryota, Metazoa, Chordata, Mammalia, Rodentia, Sciuridae. The record is from RefSeq and is a predicted model, not a curated record.
CCAACACAGAUACCCCAGGAAGUCACUCUCCCUGGCCCCUGUCCAAGUGGCAUAGGGGAGCACAGGGCUCUGCUCCAUGAUGCCCAGUCCCUUUCCUAGCAUUGGAGAUAAAGCUGGGCUCUGUGUGUACACCUGCAUUUUCCUAAAACUUCUCAGAGUCCUGUGGACAAUAACUGAGAAGAUGAACCAAGCAGGAAAUAUGA